AGUGAACGCUGGCGGUAGGCCUAACACAUGCAAGUCGAACGGCAGCACAGUAAGAGCUUGCUCUUACGGGUGGCGAGUGGCGGACGGGUGAGGAAUACAUCGGAAUCUACUUUUUCGUGGGGGAUAACGUAGGGAAAGUUACGCUAAUACCGCAUACGACCUACGGGUGAAAGCAGGGGAUCUUCGGACCUUGCGCGACUGAAUGAGACGAUGUCGGGUUAGCUAGUUGGCGGGGUAAAGGCCCACCAAGGCGACGAUCCGUAGCUGGUCUGAGAGGAUGAUCAGCCACACUGGAACUGAGACACGGUCCAGACUCCUACGGGAGGCAGCAGUGGGGAAUAUUGGACAAUGGGCGCAAGCCUGAUCCAGCCAUACCGCGUGGGUGAAGAAGGCCUUCGGGUUGUAAAGCCCUUUUGUUGGGAAAGAAAAGCAGCAGGUUAAUCCCCCGCUGUUCUGACGGUACCCAAAGAAUAAGCACCGGCUAACUUCGUG
Molecule: ribosomal RNA, 492 nt
Filed under: uncultured bacterium
Lineage: Bacteria
Description: partial 16S ribosomal RNA
Rfam family: Bacterial small subunit ribosomal RNA
Source: RNAcentral